This is a ribosomal RNA of Mycobacterium sp. E740, 2287 nucleotides long. It matches the Rfam family "Bacterial large subunit ribosomal RNA", at positions 1 to 2084 of the family's 2925-position model. The record is from Rfam. Lineage: Bacteria; Bacillati; Actinomycetota; Actinomycetes; Mycobacteriales; Mycobacteriaceae.
GUGUAAGUGUUUAAGGGCGCAUGGUGGAUGCCUUGGCACUGGGAGCCGAUGAAGGACGUGGGAGGCUGCGAUAUGCCUCGGGGAGUUGUCAACCGAGCGUGGAUCCGAGGAUGUCCGAAUGGGGAAACCCGGCACGAGUGAUGUCGUGUCACCCGGCACUGAAUGUAUAGGUGUCGGGGGGGAACGCGGGGAAGUGAAACAUCUCAGUACCCGUAGGAAGAGAAAACAAUAGUGAUUCCGUUAGUAGUGGCGAGCGAACGCGGAGGAUGGCUAAACCGUGUGCAUGUGAUACCCGGCGGGGGUUGUGUGUGCGGUGUUGUGGGGCGUUUCUUCUCUCAUCCGCCGAUGGGAGCGAAAGUGAUAAACCGUGGGGUUAGGUGAAGUGGCCUGGGAUGGUCUGCCGUAGUGGGUGAGAGUCCCGUAACCGAAAACUUGUGCGGCUUUCGUGAAAUGUUUUCCCCGAGUAGCAGCGGGCCCGUGGAAUCUGCUGUGAAUCUGCCGGGACCACCCGGUAAGCCUGAAUACUUCUCAGUGACCGAUAGCGGAUCAGUACCGUGAGGGAAUGGUGAAAAGUACCCCGGGAGGGGAGUGAAAGAGUACCUGAAACCGUGUGCCUACAAUCCGUCAAAGCCCUCGCUUUUGUGUGGGGUGAUGGCGUGCCUUUUGAAGAAUGAGCCUGCGAGUCAGGGACAUGUCGCGAGGUUAACCCGUGUGGGGUAGCCGCAGCGAAAGCGAGUCUGAAUAGGGCGUAUCACGUCAGUAGUGGCGUGUGUAGUGGUGUGUUCUGGACCCGAAGCGGAGUGAUCUACCCAUGGCCAGGGUGAAGCGCGGGUAAGACCGCGUGGAGGCCCGAACCCACUUAGGUUGAAGACUGAGGGGAUGAGCUGUGGGUAGGGGUGAAAGGCCAAUCAAACUCCGUGAUAGCUGGUUCUCCCCGAAAUGCAUUUAGGUGCAGCGUCACAUGUUUCUUGUUGGAGGUAGAGCUACUGGAUGGCCGAUGGGCCCUACUAGGUUACUGACGUCAGCCAAACUCCGAAUGCCGACAAGUCCAAGAGUGUGGCAGUGAGACGGCGGGGGAUAAGCUCCGUGCGUCGAGAGGGAAACAGCCCAGAUCGCCGGCUAAGGCCCCUAAGCGUGUGCUAAGUGGAAAAGGAUGUGCAGUCGCGAAGACAACCAGGAGGUUGGCUUAGAAGCAGCCACCCUUGAAAGAGUGCGUAAUAGCUCACUGGUCAAGUGAUUGUGCGCCGAUAAUGUAGCGGGGCUCAAGCACACCGCCGAAGCCGCGGCAGCCAACGUUGUUGGCUGGGUAGGGGAGCGUCCUGCAUCCGGUGAAGCCGCGAAGUGAUUCAGUGGUGGAGGGUGUGGGAGUGAGAAUGCAGGCAUGAGUAGCGAUAAGGCAAGUGAGAACCUUGCCCGCCGGAAGACCAAGGGUUCCUGGGCCAGGCCAGUCCGCCCAGGGUGAGUCGGGACCUAAGGCGAGGCCGACAGGCGUAGUCGAUGGACAACGGGUUGAUAUUCCCGUACCCGUGUAUGAGCGUCCCUGACGAAUCCAUACUGCUAACCACCCAAACGAGAUGCCACCAAUCCCUUCGGGGUGCGGGGUGUUUCUGCUGCGUGGGACCCGUGUGGGUAGUAGUCAAGCGAUGGGGUGACGCAGGAAGGCAGCCGUACCAGUCAGUGGUAAUACUGGGGCAAGCCCGUAGGACGAGAUAUAGGCAAAUCCGUAUCUCACAUGUCUGAGAGGUGAUGCAUAGCCGAGUGAGGCGAAUUCGGUGAUCCUAUGCUGUCGAGAAAAGCCUCUAGCGAGCGCAUACACGGCCCGUACCCCAAACCAACACAGGUGGUCAGGUAGAGAAUACCGAGGCGUACGAGUGAACUAUGGUUAAGGAACUCGGCAAAAUGCCCCCGUAACUUCGGGAGAAGGGGGACCCCCUACUGUCAAGGCUCUUUGCGGCCGGCAGCGGUGGGGGGUGGCACAAACCAGUGAGAAGCGACUGUUUACUAAAAACACAGGUCCGUGCGAAGUCGCAAGACGAGGUAUACGGACUGACGCCUGCCCGGUGCUGGAAGGUUAAGAGGACCCGUCAACCCCUCUCGAGGGGUGAAGCGGAGAAUUUAAGCCCCAGUAAACGGCGGUGGUAACUAUAACCAUCCUAAGGUAGCGAAAUUCCUUGUCGGGUAAGUUCCGACCUGCACGAAUGGCGUAACGACUUCUCAGCUGUCUCAACCAUAGACUCGGCGAAAUUGCAUUACGAGUAAAGAUGCUCGUUACGCGCGGCAGGACGAA